This 440-nucleotide ribosomal RNA is filed under the name uncultured bacterium. Its description in RNAcentral is "partial 16S ribosomal RNA". It matches the Rfam family "Bacterial small subunit ribosomal RNA", at positions 339 to 795 of the family's 1533-position model. The record is from RNAcentral.
CUACGGGGGGCACCAGUCGGGAAUAUUGCGCAAUGGAGGAAACUCUGACGCAGUGACGCCGCGUAUAGGAAGAAGGUUUUCGGAUUGUAAACUAUUGUCGUUAGGGAAGAUAAAAGACAGUACCUAAGGAGGAAGCUCCGGCUAACUACGUGCCAGCAGCCGCGGUAAUACGUAGGGAGCAAGCGUUAUCCGGAUUUAUUGGGUGUAAAGGGUGCGUAGACGGGAAGACAAGUUAGUUGUGAAAUCCCUCGGCUUAACUGAGGAACUGCAACUAAAACUAUUUUUCUUGAGUGUUGGAGAGGAAAGUGGAAUUCCUAGUGUAGCGGUGAAAUGCGUAGAUAUUAGGAGGAACACCGGUGGCGAAGGCGACUUUCUGGACAAUAACUGACGUUGAGGCACGAAAGUGUGGGGAGCAAACAGGAUUAGAUACCCGCGUAGUC